Molecule: ribosomal RNA, 497 nt
Filed under: uncultured bacterium
Lineage: Bacteria
Description: partial 16S ribosomal RNA
Rfam family: Bacterial small subunit ribosomal RNA
Source: RNAcentral
GAUGAACGCUGGCGGCGUGCCUAAUACAUGCAAGUCGAGCGAACAGACGAGGAGCUUGCUCCUCUGACGUUAGCGGCGGACGGGUGAGUAACACGUGGAUAACCUACCUAUAAGACUGGGAUAACUUCGGGAAACCGGAGCUAAUACCGGAUAAUAUAUUGAACCGCAUGGUUCAAUAGUGAAAGACGGUUUUGCUGUCACUUAUAGAUGGAUCCGCGGCGCAUUAGCUAGUUGGUAAGGUAACGGCUUACCAAGGCAACGAUGCGUAGCCGACCUGAUGGGGUGAUCGGCCACACUGGAACUGAGACACGGUCCAGACUCCUACGGGAGGCAGCAGUAGGGAAUCUUCCGCAAUGGGCGAAAGCCUGACGGAGCAACGCCGCGUGAGUGAUGAAGGUCUUCGGAUCGUAAAACUCUGUUAUUAGGGAAGAACAAAUGUGUAAGUAACUAUGCACGUCUUGACGGUACCUAAUCAGAAAGCCACGGCUAACUACGUG